GACGUAGGGCGCGAGCGUUGUCCGGAUUUAUUGGGCGUAAAGAGCUCGUAGGCGGCUUGUCGCGUCGUCUGUGAAAUCCCGCGGCUCAACCGCGGGUCUGCAGUCGAUACGGGCAGGCUAGAGUUCGGUAGGGGAGACUGGAAUUCCUGGUGUAGCGGUGAAAUGCGCAGAUAUCAGGAGGAACACCGGUGGCGAAGGCGGGUCUCUGGGCCGAUACUGACGCUGAGGCGCGAAAGCGCGGGGAGCGAACAGG
RNAcentral lists this ribosomal RNA (253 nucleotides) under uncultured bacterium. RNAcentral's name for it is "partial 16S ribosomal RNA". It matches the Rfam family "Bacterial small subunit ribosomal RNA", at positions 524 to 776 of the family's 1533-position model. The record is from RNAcentral.